AACACCUGUUUAUCUCUGCUAAUCUGCUGGGAGCCUGGUACUCAAGGCCAUGCGGGCCUGAGAAGGUUGAGAUCAGAGAUGGGAGGGGGGCCUGCAAGGCGCGAAAAAGUGAAGAAGCUUUGGGAAUAGGAUUGCAUCAGAAAACCCCUGAUUGGUUAAUUCAUCCUGAAACGAUGUGUGCCUUUUUCCUUAAGUAUAGGGGUUGUGACCCAUAGUUUUGUUCCCCUCUGGACAUUCUAAUGGACAUUCCUCUGGAGUGCUCUUGGGAUAUCUGUAUGGGGUUCCACUGCUUCUUACCAACCUGCUGCUAUUCUCUCUGAGGAGACAUGAGAUUUACCAACAACUGCCUCUUCCACAGGGAGAUGAUGCCAACUUGACGUCUAUCCCAGCUCCCCAACUAUGGGGUAUCAAAGAGGUCAUCCAUCAGAUGACUCCAGUGAACGGCAUUUACAUUUCCCUUGGCUGCUAUCCAAGAAUGAGGAAUAAGUAAAGUCUUCAUGAUUAUUACAAAGGACCAAUGUGGCUAAUAGAUAUUUACUGCUAGUCUUGCUCCAGUGAUUAAGAGAAAUCCCCUGAAGGAAUGGAUGCUUGAGCAGUUUGCUAAGACUGCUCCAAAACAACACAUCAUCGUAGCUAAAUGGUCUGAUUAAGGAAGGUGAUGGGAACAACAAAUAGACAAAAUGGGCUUUUUUUAUCAGAAAGUCACAGAGGGAAGCUGUCUGAUCCAAUCUCCCAUGGGACUUGAUGGCAGAAGGUACAACACAGCCCUGUUGGCAUCAACAUGAUUAUGCAAGUAUUCUUCCACCUCAAAAUGACCAGGCAUCAGGACUGUUGCUCAGCAACAUGAAUGAAACUCUAGUGCAAACUGAAAGCUUCAUUAAUCUUUUAAAAUAUUUUGCCUCGCCAGCUCAUGAAUACUUGAUGCAGAUUUAGGGGCAUCCUUGCAAUGUGUCCAUUGGCAUCUCGACAGGAAGCAAGUCAAUUACAACAACGCCCCAUUUUUUACUUGAUUCAAGUUAUUUUACCCUUGACUGUUUUGCUUUGAACCACAUUCAGUUCAAUACAUAUCUAUGGACUGUA
Long non-coding RNA from Rhineura floridana, 1080 nucleotides. RefSeq lists it as uncharacterized. NCBI's taxonomy places the organism in Eukaryota, Metazoa, Chordata, Lepidosauria, Squamata, Rhineuridae. The record is from RefSeq and is a predicted model, not a curated record. The transcript is spliced from 4 exons.